CCCCUUAUUUUCUUUUUCCUUUCAUUCUCACAUUUUCACUCACCCACAACCCACAUGAAACCCACGAAUGCAGGCUUAUAGCUUACGAAUACAAAGCUUCUUAGUGGAAAAUUUUGGAGAGAAGCCAAGGUUGAAGAUGACUACGAGUCUGAAAGCUAAUCGUGUUCUUGAACCUUCAAACCUUGCUAUGGAGGUGGGCUCAGAUUCAGACCCUCUUCUUUCUCACUUCUCUCUUCCAAAACCUUGCCAUUCGUCCGUUGAUCGUGGGUGAAGAGUCUGUCGUAGUCCGUGGAUUGUGGGUACAGGUUCGUUCGCCGUGCAGGUUUGUUCGUCGUGCAGAUUUGGCCUCUAUUCGUCGAUCUGCCUCUGUUUGUCGUCGAUCAUGCAGGUAUGAUGUGGUUUCAGCCUUCGUUCGUCGUCGAUUCGACCUCCAUGUCAUCGCUCGCCGACCAAAUCCACUUCUCCGUCGAACAUUUUCCCUUUUUCAGUUCCACUGACCACCUUACAGAUUUCAAGAAAUUUGACUCUUGUUCGCGGAAAUGAAAUUUGGAUUGAGAAUUGUAGUGUUGCUUAUCGAGAUUGCAACUAUGUCAAAGGGAAUUCUCGUUCAGGAAAGCUAGGGAGAUUACAAGACUUGGCAAGGCAUAGGUAUUGUGGCUUCUAGCAGAAUUUGUAAGGUGUUUUAACUACCCAAUUAUAUUGCAUUUUUCAGGUGACAUUCACAGAGGAGCAUAUCUCAUUCUUUCACUUCUUAAUAAAUGUAUGCACUAUAGUUGGAGGUAAUUUACAAGAGUUACUUGAAGGAAAGAGAGAGAGUUUGGUAGAUUGUAGUUCAUGGAGUUGAAUAUGCUUUUGGACUAUAAAAUUGACAACUCACAAGCCUUCUAGGUAACAUCCAAGAUAGACUUGCUCAGUAUGCACUAUUCUUAGUGAAAAGAGUUAAUUUUUUCAGUAUACUAAAAAUAGUUCCAUAAUUCUCACAACUCAUCAUGAGAAGAAACAAAGAAACAAAGAGUCAAUACUCACCAUACUUCAUAACAACAUUAAGAAGGUUGAGAAGUUUUUCCAGGCUAGAUAGGAAGAUUGCAUUGGACAUGUUUUAAGAAGGUUGACAAGUAAAGAAGGUGCACACAACACAAAAAUGACUUCAUAACAAUAUUAAUAACAAGUACAAGGUAAUAUUUAUAAGAUGCUUAAAAGUCUAUUUGUUCUAAAGUUCUGAAUUAGAUUCAAUGUUGGAAUGCUAUGACUAUCUUGCAGUUAUGGUAGUCAUAACUUAGUUGUUUAUGACUUCUAUUGAGUGGUUUAUGGUAGUGGAACUUCUUAGGCAUUCUUUAGUAGUUUAUAUUUAUGCAUUAUUUGUCUAAACGAAUCCAGUUGCACUAUGGUAGUUUGUGGGCUAUUCAUGCAUUGUGGGUUAGGUUAAUUCUUCAUUAUCAUCAUCGAAUCUUUUGUUAUCUCUUGUUUAACCAUUUAUUGUAGCACUUGUAGUUGAUGACUUUAAGUUCUGAUCAAAUUUGUCCACUGUCAUACAAUGGAGUUAUCUUUGUUGUUCUUGUUCAACAAUUUCCCUCUAAAUUUAUCAGGCUUGCAUUGCGUUCUUGUGAUCUAAUCUUGAAGUUCGGGAGAUCACUGAAUCUUAAUCAUCAAUAAAUCGCAUCACAGGGUAAUUUUGUAUACAUAUGUCUUACCUUGUUUUGUACUAAUUGAUUUUUAUUUGUUCUUUUUGUUGAUUUGUGAAUAUAAUUGACUGUGUAAAAGUGGUAUGAUCAGAAGAAUACUGACAACUGAAGUUCAUAACAGAAAAUGUGUUCCAAUGACUGAUGUUUGGCCAUUUCUUUUUAUUUAUAAUAUGCAAUGGUGAACUUCGUCGAUGUGUUGUCGAUAAACGUUGUCUUAAGAGUCUUAAGAUGGAAGGUUGUUCUAGUUUGGGGAGUUUUCCCCUCUGUUCAUCAAGUCUUGGCACACUUUUGGCUUUCUGAUCUUUGCUCCCUCUCUAAGAUAGUUAUAUCUCUUGUCCUUUUAUCUCUUACAAUGAUUACCUCUGAUGGAAAAAUAAGUUUGCUCAUUCAUCUACUAUUUUUAUAUAUAAGGUACAACCGUGAACUACUUUCUUGAUGAUAAAAUUAAUAAAGUUGAGGUACUUUUCCCUAGUGUUGCUUGCUUUUUGAUUGUGGUAUGUCUUGGCUCUGCUGUUCCCUCAUCCAACACAACUGAUAACAAAGCGAAACUAGAAAAAUUGUCCGACGAUACAGAAAAAGGGUUGAGGCCAGAGAAUAAUCGGAAGACUCUCGUGGUGGUCUAGAAUCGUUCGUGAGGAGAUUAGAGCUGAUUUGGAGAAGAUUCAAAGUCUACAAAGGUAGAGAAAUGAGAGAGAGUUUUUGGAAAAUUUGUCUGAAGUGUUGUAGAAACAAAAACCUCAUAAACCCACCAAAAUACAUCUCCAAUUCAACUAGAUUUGAGUGUUUCCACCACAUAUUCUUUUUGAGCUUUGUAGAGAAGAUCUUGGGGUGAUGGUCUUGUUGAAGUUUCAAGCUCAAUCUUGGAGUAUUGUUGCUGAAUUCGUGGAUUAAGUCUUUAAAGAGAAAUGGGAGAGAAUUUCUGGAAAAUUUAUCUAAAGUGUUGCAGCAACAAAAACAUUCACAAACCCACCAAAAUACCUCUCCAAUUCAGCUAGAUUUGAUUGUUUUCACCACAUAUUCCAUCUUGAGCUUUUAAGAGAAUAUCUUGGUGGUGGUCUUGUUGAAGUUUCAAGCUCAAUCUUGGAAUAUUGCUGCUGAAUUCGUGGUUUAAGUCUUCAAAGGUAAUGUUUGCUUUAGACCCUCUAUGAAUAUCACUUGAAUAGCAUAUUUAAAACUCAAAUUAAGAGUAAUUAGAUUGCUUAUUUAUUCUGAUUUGUUCUGCUGCAUGUUAUAUUACUCUUUCAAACCAAUCCAACCCGUGUACACCCCUACUUUUCGGUAACUCAAUCACAAGAACUUCAUAGUUAAACGUGCUUAGCUUGGAGUAGUUCUAUGUUGGUUUGUGGGGAUAGUCUUCACUCUUGGAAGCAUUCAAGAUAAGUAAGGAUGACAUUGCCAGGUUGCAGGGGAUGUAAAGGAAUGUCAAGACUAGGUUGCAAAUGUCGGAGCCAUCAGGUGUUGAAUCCAAAUUCUGAAUCCUGAUUCGAAUCCUGAACCUAGGACGUUACAAUAUUACAUAUUUUAAUUCAUCGAGAGACACUUCAAGAAGUGUUGCAAUGCAUAAGUCACCCUCGACUUUAUGUUUGACUGUGUUUUAUGGCAUGGAUCACCGUGUUAAAACAAACAAAUAACUGAAGUCCAUAAACCUCUAACAUCUAACAACUUAUGAAAAGGUAAAACAAAGAAAAGAAAAUUUUGAGUAACGACUAAAUAUAUUAUACCUCUAGAAAUUUGUUUACU
This is a non-coding RNA of Benincasa hispida (wax gourd), 3422 nucleotides long. The record is from RefSeq and is a predicted model, not a curated record. Lineage: Eukaryota; Viridiplantae; Streptophyta; Magnoliopsida; Cucurbitales; Cucurbitaceae.